RNAcentral lists this small RNA (787 nucleotides) under Pongo abelii (Sumatran orangutan). Its description in RNAcentral is "retained intron". The record is from RNAcentral. Lineage: Eukaryota; Metazoa; Chordata; Mammalia; Primates; Hominidae.
GGACUACAGACCACACAGGCUCACCUGGAAAGGCUAUUGCAGAGGGUUUUGCGGGACAAAGAAGUGGCCAAUCGAUACUUUACCACUGUCUGUGUGAGAUUACUGCUUGAGAGCAAGGAAAAGAAGAUCAGGGAAUUCAUUCAAGACUUUCAGAAACUCACCGCAGCUGAUGAUAAAACUGCUCAGGUAGAAGAUUUUCUGCAGUUUCUUUAUGGUGCAAUGGCCCAGGAUGUCAUAUGGCAAAACGCGAGUGAAGAACAGCUUCAAGAUGCACAGCUGGCCAUUGAGCGAAGCGUGAUGAACCGGAUUUUCAAGCUCGCCUUCUACCCUAAUCAGGAUGGGGACAUACUUCGCGACCAGGUUCUUCAUGAACAUAUCCAGAGAUUGUCUAAAGUAGUGACUGCAAAUCACAGAGCUCUUCAGAUACCAGAGGUAAUACAGGUUUAUAUAGCAUGGGUAAUGUUAACUAAAUGCUGCGUGUUAUUAUACCAUAUAAUGUUACCACGUUUUCAAGGAACUGAAAUGCGAUAAAAUAUAAAACAUCAUUUUCACUCUAUGUAAUUCAGUCUAACUGUGAAGUUCCUGAAGAUGCUUUCAGGGAUUAAAAUUCCCUGGUAUGAAAUAGUAGAAAGCCAGUUGUGAGGAGCCCUUCCUUGAUGCCACUUCUCAAGCCAGCCCUGCUCUCAGGAGCAGUACCUCUCCAUCGGUGCUUUUAUAGUCAGGUUUCUACAGAAAUGUUUUGAAGAAGCAGGAGGCUGAUAGCACUCCAAAGAGUGAGAUAUGCUGU